Molecule: ribosomal RNA, 468 nt
Filed under: uncultured bacterium
Lineage: Bacteria
Description: partial 16S ribosomal RNA
Rfam family: Bacterial small subunit ribosomal RNA
Source: RNAcentral
GACGAACGCUGGCGGCGUGCUUAACACAUGCAAGUCGAACGGAAAGGCCCUGCUUUUGUGGGGUGCUCGAGUGGCGAACGGGUGAGUAACACGUGAGUAACCUGCCCUUGACUUUGGGAUAACUUCAGGAAACUGGGGCUAAUACCGGAUAGGAGCUCCUGCUGCAUGGUGGGGGUUGGAAAGUUUCGGCGGUUGGGGAUGGACUCGCGGCUUAUCAGCUUGUUGGUGGGGUAGUGGCUUACCAAGGCUUUGACGGGUAGCCGGCCUGGGAGGGUGACCGGCCACAUUGGGACUGAGCUGCGGCCCAGACUCCUACGGGAGGCAGCAGUGGGGAAGAGUGCACAAUGGGCGGAAGCCUGAUGCAGCAACGCCGCGUGGGGGAUGACGGCCUUCGGUUUGUGAUCCGCUUUCGCCUUUGACGAGGCGUGAGUGACGGUAAUGGGUGAAGAAGCACCGGCUAACUACGUG